This 465-nucleotide ribosomal RNA is filed under the name Vreelandella stevensii. RNAcentral describes it as "partial 16S ribosomal RNA". It matches the Rfam family "Bacterial small subunit ribosomal RNA", at positions 338 to 795 of the family's 1533-position model. The record is from RNAcentral. Lineage: Bacteria; Pseudomonadati; Pseudomonadota; Gammaproteobacteria; Oceanospirillales; Halomonadaceae.
CCUACGGGGGGCGGCAGUGGGGAAUAUUGGACAAUGGGGGGAACCCUGAUCCAGCCAUGCCGCGUGUGUGAAGAAGGCCCUCGGGUUGUAAAGCACUUUCAGUGAGGAAGAACGCCUGGUGGUUAAUACCCAUCAGGAAAGACAUCACUCACAGAAGAAGCACCGGCUAACUCCGUGCCAGCAGCCGCGGUAAUACGGAGGGUGCGAGCGUUAAUCGGAAUUACUGGGCGUAAAGCGCGCGUAGGUGGCUUGAUAAGCCGGUUGUGAAAGCCCCGGGCUCAACCUGGGAACGGCAUCCGGAACUGUCAAGCUAGAGUGCAGGAGAGGAAGGUAGAAUUCCCGGUGUAGCGGUGAAAUGCGUAGAGAUCGGGAGGAAUACCAGUGGCGAAGGCGGCCUUCUGGACUGACACUGACACUGAGGUGCGAAAGCGUGGGUAGCAAACAGGAUUAGAUACCCGAGUAGUC